This is an RNA transcript of Piliocolobus tephrosceles (Ugandan red Colobus), 1994 nucleotides long. RefSeq lists it as uncharacterized. The transcript has a single exon. The record is from RefSeq and is a predicted model, not a curated record. NCBI's taxonomy places the organism in Eukaryota, Metazoa, Chordata, Mammalia, Primates, Cercopithecidae.
CUCCUGACCUCAGGUGAUCCGCCUGCCUCGGCCUCCCAAAGCACUGGGAUUACUGGUGUGAGCCACUGCACCCGGCCACAUUUGGUUUUCCAUUAGCCUAGAAACCUGCUCGUGGCUGACCGGGGGGUGCUGUGUGGUCCCAUCUUCUAACACAGCUCUGUCUUUUCUGUGCAGCGGCAGCAGCUGCAUUUGUUUGCCUGGGUUUGUGUGUCCAGGGCGACCCCACCUGCAUCCGAUCAUCCAGAACCCCAGGUUGCUGGAGCUUCCAGGGAGCCUCGGCCCAGUGCAGCCUGACCUGGCAACAGAGGCUGGGCCCAGCUGUCCCUCGGGGUUCACUGUGCCAACUCUCUGCUUCUGGGCCUGCCUUUCUCUUUCUCGGUUUUCUUCAUGGUGUUGUGGUUUGGAGAAGUCCCGGGAGGCAGAGCACUGAGGCCUUGCGUGCGUGAAAUGUCUGUAGCCUCCCUUCACCGGAGGGGCAGCCUGGCCUCCGUGGUGUCACAGGUGCAGAGCCUGCCGUUGAACUGCAGCUUUUGUGUGACUGAUCCUGUGUGUGCCAUCAGCUUUGCUUGAGGUUUUAGGGUCUCUGCUCCCUCCCAGCUGCACCGGGCUGUGCUGGGGGCACUAGGGGCCUUUUUAGGCCUAGGGCUUGUGGUCUUUGUGGUGGGGUCAUCCUCUCGUGCUCUCUGUUAACUUUUCCAUCAUUGUCCCUUUCUGUUGCUCCUGUUAAUCAGAUGUUGAUCCUCCCAGAUGAGGGGUCGGUCUUCUUUUUUUUGAGACAGUUUCACUCUUGUUGCCCAGGCUGGAGUAUAGUGGUGUAGUCUUGGCUCACUGCAACGUCCGUCUCCCAGCUUCAAGUGAUUUUCCUGUCUCAGCCUUCUGAGUAGCUGGGAUUACAGGCACACGCCACCACACCCAGCUAAUUUUUUGUAUUUUUUUAGUAGAGAUGGUGUUUCACCAUGUUGGUCAGGCUGGUCUCGAACUCCUGACCAGGUGAUCCGCCUGCCUUGGCCUCCCAAAGUGCUGGGAUUACAGGCGUGAGCCACUGUGCCCAGCCCCUUGCUGGACGUUUUCAUCCAUGUGGAAGGGGAUGAAGCGUGCCCCAUGGUCACACCACCCCCUCCUGUGGUCUGGGGUCCCCACCUUCCUGACCUGUUCUGUGUUGCGGUCUCCAGGCUUCUGUGCUGCUGUACCCUGCAGGGUCCUCCUGCCUCCCGAGCCUCCCCACUCCACAUGGCCCCUGCCCAGCCCUCUCCAUCCCUCUUGAAGGUGGUUCCACAGCCAGACACCGCCCCCUCUGGCCUCUCCUCUAGGGCUUGCUACCCACCCCCAUCCCCUGCUUCCACUGCCACCUGAUGUGCCCAUGAUGCCCCAGGCUGCCUCCCCACCUCUGUGGCUCCUGAGCCUGCAUGGAGGAAAGGGUAUUCUCUGGGCAAGGCACCGCCACCCCACAGGGUCCUCCCUCGCACCACAUCCAGGACAGUGGAGGCUGCUCCUGCCUUUUCCUCACAGUCCUCGGGUCACCUCUCCACCUGCCCAACUCUCGGCGGCCACCCCUCUCAGCCCCAUCCAGCUCCCGAGAAGCUUUGUCCCCUGAGGGCCCUGGGUCAUUCCUUUGACCCGUCAGGCACAGUGCAGCCUGCAUGCGAGCCUGGGCGGGCGCUGGGGACGGACGCGUGACGCAGCAGACACUGCCUCCCUGAAGGCAUUGCAGCAUGGGACGCUUGGCCUCCACCUGCAGGGGCCUCACCUGACCAGUCCCCAGCCUCAGGAGAAGGGACCCCAGCAGCUGGAGCCCCAGUGGAGUUGGGGGGAUGGUAGCAUCUGUGUCCUGGGCUCUGGGGCCGCCUCACUGUGAGGAGGGGCGUGUGGGCAUCGCGGGAGGCUCCGGGGCCACCUCACUGUGAGGAGGGGGUGUGGGCAUCGUGGGAGGUCUCACCUCGGGGCCAUGCUGAUCUUGGCUCUGAGAGCUGGUGUCCUCUGCUCCUCCCCUCCCA